Molecule: ribosomal RNA, 489 nt
Filed under: uncultured bacterium
Lineage: Bacteria
Description: partial 16S ribosomal RNA
Rfam family: Bacterial small subunit ribosomal RNA
Source: RNAcentral
GAUUGAACGCUGGCGGCAGGCCUAACACAUGCAAGUCGAACGGUAGCACAGAGAGCUUGCUCUCGGGUGACGAGUGGCGGACGGGUGAGUAAUGUCUGGGAAACUGCCCGAUGGAGGGGGAUAACUACUGGAAACGGUAGCUAAUACCGCAUAAUGUCGCAAGACCAAAGAGGGGGACCUUCGGGCCUCUUGCCAUCGGAUGUGCCCAGAUGGGAUUAGCUAGUUGGUGAGGUAAUGGCUCACCAAGGCGACGAUCCCUAGCUGGUCUGAGAGGAUGACCAGCCACACUGGAACUGAGACACGGUCCAGACUCCUACGGGAGGCAGCAGUGGGGAAUAUUGCACAAUGGGCGCAAGCCUGAUGCAGCCAUGCCGCGUGUGUGAAGAAGGCCUUCGGGUUGUAAAGCACUUUCAGCGGGGAGGAAGGCAAUACGGUUAAUAACCGUGUUGAUUGACGUUACCCGCAGAAGAAGCACCGGCUAACUCCGUG